Molecule: ribosomal RNA, 468 nt
Filed under: uncultured bacterium
Lineage: Bacteria
Description: partial 16S ribosomal RNA
Rfam family: Bacterial small subunit ribosomal RNA
Source: RNAcentral
GACGAACGCUGGCGGCGUGCUUAACACAUGCAAGUCGAACGGAAAGGCCCUGCUUUUGUGGGGUGCUCGAGUGGCGAACGGGUGAGUAACACGUGAGUAACCUGCCCUUGACUUUGGGAUAACUUCAGGAAACUGGGGCUAAUACCGGAUAGGAGCUCCUGCUGCAUGGUGGGGGUUGGAAAGUUUCGGCGGUUGGGGAUGGACUCGCGGCUUAUCAGCUUGUUGGUGGGGUAGUGGCUUACCAAGGCUUUGACGGGUAGCCGGCCUGGGAGGGGGACCGGCCACAUGGGGCCUGAGGGACGGCCCAGAGGGCUACGGGAGGCAGCAGUGGGGAAUAUUGCACAAUGGGCGGAAGCCUGAUGCAGCAACGCCGCGUGCGGGAUGACGGCCUUCGGGGUGUAAACCGCUUUCGCCUGUGACGAAGCGUGAGUGACGGUAACGGGUAAAGAAGCACCGGCUAACUACGUG